GACAGCGUGCUGCCACGCACCAGCCCUGCCAGCCAUGGCAUUCGCCGCGCGGAGGAGCAUCGCCACCCGACUUUUCACCAUCUCACGUGAUGCCUCCAUCCUCGACCUCAAGGCACAUCUCUACCUCACCCAGGAAGUGGACGAAAUCCCACCGCCCUAGUGCCGUAGCGGCCACUGCAACUCUGUGGCUUUGCCAAGAACAAGGAGGAGCAGUGGCAGGCAAUGUCCUUCCUUUUAUUUGGCCGGGGGCUUCGAAAUUAUCUGGAUCCGCUACUGUCACGGACCCGCGUUUCGCCAUGGGCAGAAUUCGGUGUUGCCUAAUCGCCGGUAAGCUCUCUGUGCAUCUACGUAUCUAGUUUAGGGGUGCAUGUGCGCGCGUCGGCAAUGGCGCCGCCACUGGAGCACUUGCGUGGUCGUUGACCACGUCGAGGGGAAGAAGACGUUGUGUUGGCCGUUGAUUUGAUAGUUAGCGUCCGAGAUCAGAUGGGUGCACACCGAAUCAAGCAAUUGGGUUUGGGCCACCCGAUGGUUGAAGUGCGGCUCAUAUCCGAUCAGAUAAUAUCCCUUUGUUUCAUUAAAUCACAAGCAUUAGAUGAAGAUCUUGUGGCCAUUGAUGCCUACCGGUUUGGGCUAUAAUCCGAGUCGUAUGCUGUGGAUCAUGUGGAUCUGGGUCUGGCGCGGUUGUAGAUGAUCCGAGCCGUCGAUUAGAUCUCGGGCGUGUGUGGGUCGAGCAGCAGGUGAGGAGUAGGGGGGUGAAUCAGCGCCGUCGGAUCGCGGGUGUACGACUGUGAUUAGAUCUUGCCGUACCCUUUGGCCUGUUGUAUCGGCACCCUUGGAUCUUGAUCGGGCGGUGAAGAGAGAUUACCGCUUCAAUGGAUCUCGAUCCGUCUAUUUGUGAUUGGGCGAUCGAAACUCAAACGUACCCCUUCGACCAGACUUCUUUCAUAAAAGCCCUUGCGCUUUAUUAUAAUCAACCCGCCAUCCUCUCCUUCGCUGAAGGUAUAACAAAUAGGUCCACAAAUUAUAAAAUGAACCCCGAGGACUUAAGAAAUUAUUCCCACAGUACAAAGGGUAAUCAAAAUGAGUAAAUUAAUAUGGAAAAUGAGUUUUAGGUAUAAAAUUAAUCCUAGAAACUUAGAAAAUUUAUAUUUUGUUCAUUUUAACUCUGAUUUAACCCAUUCCAGUUGCGUUAGCUUCAUAAAAAAUAUUUUCUACGCAGUAGCAACAUCAUGUAUACCAUAUUCCAUACCUUUAUAAUUAGAUAAGUGUUUAAUCUAUAUUCAGUAGAUUAACUCCACUAAUCUAGGUUAAUCUCUCUAUAAUUAUAUCCUGAUUAAAAUGAAAUCCCUAAUCAAGUUAUAAUCUAGAUUAAAGUUGAAUUAGUUAUUUAGAUUAUAUUUCUCCUAUACUGCAUAUUAAUCAAUUUAUAAUAUAAUAGAACUUCGGAAAAUCAUAUCUUUCUAACCGUAACUCCGAUUUUAGUGGUUCUCGAACCUAGGAUCUAGUUACGAUAUGUAGAAUAUUAUUAUACAGUUUGUUCUUACAUUUGAUGUGAUGUUAAUUUUGCCUAUACCAUGUCUGUUUGUAUUGCUAUGAUUAGCAGCGAGGUUACGAGUCAUCUGAAGAUCAUCUUGGUGCCUCGAAUCUUGGGUCUCACGCAAGUUGUGCCCUUGAUCACUUUUUUUUACCCAAUAAUAUUCUUGUUAAUCACUGUGACGUGCUCAGGUUAAUCAGAUGGGACCUAAUAGGUUUCUCUAGAGUUGUUUAUCUCACACCUUGUUUACCACUAAACUUUUGGGUAGUUUUGCUAUUGCUCUACCUGGUUUUGGGAUUAAUAUUACAUUACGAUCUUGUUCCAAUUAUACUAUUGUUUUAAUUAUUGUUCAUGAAAAGAUCAUUGUGUUAAUUGGAACAUGGAGCUUAACUUGAGAAAUACGUGCUACCACAAGGGUGGAAUGGGACGCUCUUGGCUGACUAAUUAGAAAAGCUAGUGGAGGACUACCUUACCCUAAAGGGGUAAGGGCAGUAGGGGAGUUGCGUAUAGGGAGGUUCUCGAUUCGAUCAUGCUGCGAUGGCUUUUCGGACGAGCUAUUCCUAUAUUGCCCUUCCUAGAAACUAUGACGGGUUUUCUGAAGCUAGUGGAACUUUGUAAAGGCCUCGUAGUGGAUCCCUAGCCAUUCACCUCAGAAGUGUCUAAGGGUCUAGCUAAUCCUGGCUAGAUGGGAUACACGACUUGUGGGUAAAGGGCGUAACCUCUGCAGAGUGUACAACCGGUAUAUCAGUCGUGCUCGCGGUCAUGAGCAGCUCAGGACUUUCGCGUGAUUAAUUUAUGGAACUAAACUUAAUAUGUCAUAUGCAUUGCAUCGCAGGUGUUGUUAUUAUCAAUUGUGAUCUCUUUUUUAAUUGAGUUGGUAUCUACUUAUACUUAGUAACUGCUAAUAAAAUCUUGACCAACUUUAAAAGCAAUGCUCAGCUUUAACCAUCUCCUUUGGUAAGCCUUACACUUCACAUGAACUCCCGCCUUUGGUGAGUUCAUGCACAUUAUUCCCCACAACUUGUUGAGGGAUGAAAGUAUGUGAGCUCACCUUGUUGUACUCACAUCCCCCCAGGUCAAGGACAGGUACCAUUGGAUAAGGAGUAUGAAGGAUACUGUGAUGAGUUCGUGAGUGGUCUAGGCCGUCGUCUCCCAAUCAACUUUGGUUGCUGGAUCGUUGUCUUCAUAUGAUGUAAUUAUUUAACUAUUUUGUACAGAACUCCAUUAUAUAUUAAAGUUGUGGCAUUCGUUUC
RNAcentral lists this long non-coding RNA (2787 nucleotides) under Zea mays. Its description in RNAcentral is "long non-coding RNA (ZMAY_LNC004472)". Lineage: Eukaryota; Viridiplantae; Streptophyta; Magnoliopsida; Poales; Poaceae. The record is from RNAcentral.